AAGAAGAAGGAAGGAGGAGGAAGGAGGAAAGGAACAAAAGCUCACAUAUAUGCACAGGUCACUGGUAUGUGGGUCUUAUAAAUCAUAAAUAUAGUACACAUUCAGGAGCGUCGAGGAGACCGGGGGGAAAAUAAUUUUUCUUUCUUUUGUUUUUUUUGCCUCCUUUUCUUUCCUUCUUUCUU
Molecule: microRNA precursor, 182 nt
Filed under: Trypanosoma congolense IL3000
Lineage: Eukaryota; Euglenozoa; Kinetoplastea; Trypanosomatida; Trypanosomatidae
Source: RNAcentral